This is a non-coding RNA of Trichonephila clavipes, 73 nucleotides long. The record is from the annotation of a GenBank genome assembly. Lineage: Eukaryota; Metazoa; Arthropoda; Arachnida; Araneae; Nephilidae.
AUCUCUGUAGUGCAAUAUAUAGCGAGUUGGAAUUCUACUCCAAGGGUUGUGGGUUCGAAUCCCACCUGGGGUG